Molecule: long non-coding RNA, 2277 nt
Organism: Patella vulgata (common limpet)
Lineage: Eukaryota; Metazoa; Mollusca; Gastropoda; Patellidae
Exons: 2
Source: RefSeq, a predicted model, not a curated record
CCGAUCGUGUACACUUAUGUAACACAAUAAAAUGAACGUCCCACACACUAUUACCACCAAAAUAACCCAUACAAUUAUACAAUAGUUGACAUUAUUCAUGCAGUAACUGGAUUGUGCACUCAUAUUAAUACGGGUGUGAAAACCGUUUAUUUGGUACCUUUGACCCAUUGCCAAACAGAACACUAAAGCGGUUAUAAUGUCUUGAUUUCGCGUCUUUAUAUUGUAGCGAGUGCCUCCAUGACGAUAACAUACACAAAUAACAAACAUUAAUAACGUCUUUACCUCUAGCCACAAGCUGUGAAAGCGAGAGUUGGAUGACGCUAGCGCUACUACCGAGUUUCUUGUUUUGAUUCUGUCUAUAGUAUCGUAUACUUGGAUUUCGACAUACACGCCAGGUUAGAUUGAAGCAACAUGGGAGAAGGUCAAGGUGAGGGUAGUGGGGCCGGUAAAGCCGGAAUUUGUCCAGGAUUAUUAUGGGGUAUAUUAUGGUUUCUGAUUCUAUGGUUCAUCGGAUGGCCGGUUGGUUUCUUCAUCGCAUGGCUCUACGUGUUCCUGAUACCAUUCUCAGCCUGUAUAGAACCUUUAAAGGGUGUUUGUGACGCCAUCUUAAAAUUAGUGCAGCUACCUCUAACCUGUGCUGAGAAUAUGAUCGCUAUGAAGCCAUUGUGUGGUUAACUUUUAAAAAGGCUAGUUCCGGUAAUGACUUGUAUAUUGUUAUUUAGCGCUUUUCGUAUCUCACUCACACGUACUGUGUAUAAACUCAUACUAAUUUCUGCGGAUUGAAUUACAUUAUAGAUGUAUAAAUAAAACUGCCACGAUGUGCCUAUAUUUAACAUAGAACCUAAUGAAGUAGUCUCUAUUGACAACGGUCCCAGAUCCUCCCCCGUACGUUCAAGACUAGGGGGUUCUGGGUGACCAAGACUACUACUAAAGUACAUUUAGAUGAUGGGAAUACCGGAUUGUUAUGGAUUACUAUGGAUACGAAUGCAGAAAUUGGACAAUAUAACUCAUAUGCAACUUCAUCUACAUAAACUUGCAUACCCAUUUUCAUCUUAGAGGUGUAAAAGUUAUUCUAUGAAACUAUGAUCAAAUUGACAAAAAAAGGAACAAAAUUGUUUUCAUUUUCAACGUUAAAGAUACAUUAGUUCAGAGUUGGCCAUUCUUGCUUUAUUAAUUCAAAAAUAAAUGAUAAAAAAAAAGAGAAAAUAUUGAAAAUUUCAGUCAAAUUACUUUAUUCUGAACGAAGUGGUCACUGCUGGAAGUUUGUGCUAGAAAUAGGCAUCAACGGUCUCCGCACCGUCUCGGAGAAUUGCCGAUCGUUUGACAGACGAUAACUCCACCCACAUAUUCUCGAUUAUCAAGUAACAUUCUCAGUGACUACGGUACUCUCGAUUGUCAGGCCUUUAAUCGACAUUCUCCGGUGGUGACGUCAGUGAUUAACGGUAAAUGUUAGCUUCGUCAGCCAUUUAUUGAUUUAAUAAUUAAAUGGACGACUGUUUAAACCCAAGCUGUAUCCAAGCCAACCGAGGGUCUACAGAGUUGAUUUAGGGCUUGAAAUGUAAAUAAAGAACUAAUUAAUAAUUUCUAUAACAUCUGAAGCCUAAAGACCUGCAGUAGGCAGAUUUAGCUCUUAACUAAUGUAUCUUUAAACAUACAUUAUGACGUCACAUUAAUAAUGACGUCAAUGUAUUAAUCAUAUCAAACAUACAUUAUGCAAGAGCUACAUCUGUCUAUUGCAGGUCUUUCUUUAGCCCUGAAAGGUUAUCUAAAUUAUUAAUUAGACAUUAAUUAACUUAUCCAGACCAUAACCAACUCUAGGUGUUAUCGCUAGCCUGCGAUAUAUUCUGGAUUUGAAUCCGAUCUGCUACUCAACGUUCAUUCAUGAUUAAAUCAAAAAAAUGAUUAAUCGAGACUAUCUUAUUUUAUCGUACCGACUUUAGUAAUGAUGAUCGAGGCUAGGCCGAGAAUUCAAUCGCUAAAUUCUCGGUUCAGAGCGAAUCAAUUCAGCAAAUUUAUUUUACAUUAUCUAGUUUUUAACUAUUAUAGUGAGAACUGCCAGCUCUUUAUCUAAUCUCCCAUAAUGUAUUUUUAAUCUAUAGGAUACCAAAUAAUAGUUUAUUACAGAGGAAUUAUUAGUGUAAAGUACUGGUUAUAUAAUACGAUCGUUGAAUGGAUAGGUUUAUGUUGUAAAUUAUAUAAAUUAAUAAUUAUUGUUAAAGAUAAUAUCAUUUAUCUGUAGCUUAGUUAUAAAAACAAUUAUAUUUAGAUAGUUCGGGA